Molecule: ribosomal RNA, 497 nt
Filed under: uncultured bacterium
Lineage: Bacteria
Description: partial 16S ribosomal RNA
Rfam family: Bacterial small subunit ribosomal RNA
Source: RNAcentral
GAUGAACGCUGGCGGCGUGCCUAAUACAUGCAAGUCGAGCGAACAGACGAGGAGCUUGCUCCUCUGACGUUAGCGGCGGAAGGGUGAGUAACACGUGGAUAACCUACCUAUAAGACUGGGAUAACUUCGGGAAACCGGAGCUAAUACCGGAUAAUAUAUUGAACCGCAUGGUUCAAUAGCGAAAGACGGUUUUGCUGUCACUUAUAGAUGGAUCCGCGCCGCAUUAGCUAGUUGGUAAGGUAACGGCUUACCAAGGCAACGAUGCGUAGCCGACCUGAGAGGGUGAUCGGCCACACUGGAACUGAGACACGGUCCAGACUCCUACGGGAGGCAGCAGUAGGGAAUCUUCCGCAAUGGGCGAAAGCCUGACGGAGCAACGCCGCGUGAGUGAUGAAGGUCUUCGGAUCGUAAAACUCUGUUAUUAGGGAAGAACAAAUGUGUAAGUAACUAUGCACGUCUUGACGGUACCUAAUCAGAAAGCCACGGCUAACUACGUG